CGCCAGACUCCUACGGGAGGCAGCAGUGGGGAAUAUUGCACAAUGGGGGAAACCCUGAUGCAGCGACGCCGCGUGAGUGAAGAAGUAUUUCGGUAUGUAAAGCUCUCUCAGCAGGGAAGAAAAUGACGGUACCUGACUAAGAAGCCCCGGCUAACUACGUGCCAGCAGCCGCGGUAAUACGUAGGGGGCAAGCGUUAUCCGGAUUUACUGGGUGUAAAGGGAGCGUAGACGGCAUGGCAAGUCAGAUGUGAAAGCCCGGGGCUCAACCCCGGGACUGCAUUUGAAACUGUCAGGCUGGAGUGCAGGAGAGGUAAGUGGAAUUCCUAGUGUAGCGGUGAAAUGCGUAGAUAUUAGGAGGAACACCAGUGGCGAAGGCGGCUUACUGGACUGUAACUGACGUUGAGGCUCGAAAGCGUGGGGAGCAAACAGGAUUAGAUACCCCGGUA
RNAcentral lists this ribosomal RNA (446 nucleotides) under uncultured bacterium. Its description in RNAcentral is "bacterial SSU rRNA". It matches the Rfam family "Bacterial small subunit ribosomal RNA", at positions 329 to 792 of the family's 1533-position model. The record is from RNAcentral.